UGGGAUGGCAUGAACACGUCCCUGGAUCUUUGAUUUCUUGUUAAGUAAAAGUGGGCCCCUAAAAUCAAGGCAGAUGUUUUCACUGCCUGUCACCAAAGCAGAGGAGGGCAGCUGCUUAAGAUCAGUGAGGACACCACUGUGGGGUCUUCCCUCCAUUAGUCUCACCCUUGGAGCCCGGUCAUUCUAUCCUGAAGAGAAUGAACGUGCCCCGUGGGACAGCCCCUCAGGAGCCCCCACUGGCCCCUGUGGACAACCUGAGACCCCCGAGAGGAGACUGACCACUCCCUGCUGGCCCUGCCCUCCCAGGCCUGGGGGUCUCCGCCUUCUUUGUUCUGAGCUGGAGGAGGGAGGGGCUACUCUUCUCACAGAGGACCCUUGGCCCCUGGCCCAUGCUGGGUGUCCAAGGGAGGUAGGAAGCAGCCCUUCUAGGUGCCUCUGUCCACUUCGCCGGCACAGCUGUCCCGAGCCCAGGAACGGGCUCUUUCCUCUACUUACAGACUGAGGGAAAGCUCCUGCUUCCGAGGCAGGAGUCACAGCACCUGUGGAAGCAGACUCGCUGAGGGAGACCUUGAGUGACAGCCAUUCCAGCCUCAGCUUCCCUGGUGGUAAAAGAAGGGUGAGUUGGAGGCUUCUGAGUUAAUCUCGGCCAUCCAAUGUCCUGCCUGGUCUGGCGCUGGGGCACCCAGCCAGUGAGGCACGUCCCUGUCGUCGGGCUGCUCCAGUCGGAGGCUGGAGGCUGGGUGAGGGGCGGUGGUCGGGGUGGUGGAGGGGAGCCUCAAGCUGGACCUGCCACAGGCUUCUCUGGCUACACUGCUGGUUUCCUCAUGUGUCCCUCCCUUGGGAAAUGAGAGCGAGCCUCCAGGCCAGCUUCCAGCUGAGGGGCUCCCUGGAGUCCAUGGGUGUCCCACUGGUCAGCAAAGGGAGUGAGAAGCUUCCUCCCACUCAGCUGUCAGCCAGGAAGGGAGGGGACGCAUUCUGGACGCUUCAGGGGCAGGAUGAAAAAUACAGCCUCUGAGACUGGACAGCUCAAGGUGGUAAGAGUCUCCUGAACCUGAAGACAGGGCUCACUAUGCUGCGGGCCACAGUUCAGGUGGUGCCAGCAGCUUUGGGGCUGACUAUAUCCUGGUGACAGCAGUGCCGCAUCCCUGGAGCCCAGGAAGACCCUGGUGUUGGUAGGAAGUGGAGGACCUGGUCCUGCUCUGUGCCAAGUGUCCUGGCACCUUAGGGUAGCCAGCCCCUGACUUCCUGCUGAGCUCCUGGGAGGAGGGGGUAACCAGAACCUUGCUGUAUAAAACCACCUACAAUUUGGAAGGAGGACAGGUGCAAGCGCUCUUCCAUCAGCUCCCAGAUGACCUGGCGUUGCUUCAUUUUCUCUCUGCUUACUCGAGAGGCAAGGCUCUUGCCUGGGAUGGUUCCUAUAGUCAAGCGAGUCAGUGGAUCGGCUUCAAGGGAGCUGUCUGUUUGCCCAGCUGCUGCUCGUUUUCCACAGCAGCUCUCGUGCACCGUCCCUUCAUUUCCUACAGAUGAGGAAACUGAAGCACAGGUAUGGAGGAAUCACCAUGAGUCUACCACAGGACACAGUCCCACGGGCAAAACCCACCAACGGAUGCUAAAACGAGGGGUGAACGGCUAAGGCACAGAGCAAGGAGUGGCAGGGCUAAGAUCUGACUCCAAUUCCUGCAGUCUUCACCACCACAUCUGGACUGUUCUAUUUUUUUCUAUGGGACCUAGUAGUAAAAUUUGGACCAACAGGUCGAAACUACAGGGAGAUAUAUUUCAAGUCAAUAUAAACAGUGUCUUUCUAUUUCCACUAUUCACAAAUAGAAUUGGCACACAUAGUGAGUUCACCAUCAAGGGUUGUAAACAAACUGAGCAUUUGGCAGGGACGCCAUAGAGGGGAUCCAUGUAUUGAGUAGAUAAUGUGUAAACCCAGGAUCACAGAGUGACCUCUUUGGGGUCAUUUAGAAAAUGUGUGGGUACCAGGAUGGAGGCAGGAAGGUGUCAGCCAGGGGAGAACAUGCAGGAUAUUGGAGCAGGAGCCCAAGCUAUGACUGCUGAAACAUUAGGACCAGAGUCAAGGAUUCCUGGCACUGCCAAAGAUAGUGGCCUGUAAAGGGGCAGCAGGUGACAGAGGUGUAGUGUGGGUAGGUGCGUUUGGGACCCAAAUCCUGGGGACAUAAAGUCUUUGGGAAUGCCUCACAAAAGGCCUGCACAGAAACCUCUGAAAUUCCAACUCUGGAGCCUCGUUCCCUUGGCUUCAGACUUUCAUCUCUGUUAGGAUGGGAGGCAGGCUGGACCGACUUAACAGCAAAGUUGGAGCUACCUUUCCCGCAAUUACCUUCCCUGUGUGGUUCCAGUUAGGAGAAACUUACAUGAGAUAUGGAAGGUGAGGUGAAGGAGCAGUAAUUCUCAAGCUCUGAAGGCCAGCGUAGGGCGCCACCCGCUGCAGCUGCUUGUGCAUGUUGUGGACCUGCCGUCUCACCUCGUAGACCUGGGGCAGCACCCAAGCCCGCAGCUCCCGCCAGCUCUCCGCUUAGACUUCUCCCAGCUUUGGGCCGCACAUGUGUGCAGCUCUGUGGAGAAGCCCAUCCCCUUCUCCACAUCAUCGAGGUUGGAGGUGGGAAAGAGAGGAAUGGGCUCCAGCCUGUUCCUGUGGGUUCAGCCACAGUUUGCCCUCCUGGGUUGCAGUUCAGCCACAUGGGUCCCAUUAGUCCUUGCUCUCCCCUCCUUCAUGCCCAGCUCUUCUUCCUGACCAGCAGCCUGGCUGACCUAGAAUGCCUCCAGGCCCAACACCGGAGACAAAGACCACAACUUUGCACAGCCUCCUUAACCAGCUCUCACAAUUGCAUGAGGCCUAAUCCUUUUCUCGGCCUCCAUGCUCUGUAUCACCUGUCAUGGUUCUGCUCCUCUGAUUGAACCCUGCACACACACCUGCUUCCUCCACACACUGCCAACUGCUGAAGGUGCUCCUCUACCCUGGCAUCUUACCGACGGGUAUCAGUGGCUCAUCACUACCUAGAAAAUCAAGUCCAGAUCCCUAGGGUUGGCUCUGGUGGUCCCCCCUCCGCUUACACCAAAGCCUGUGCUUUUGCUGCCACACUGCACUGCUUUCCAGGAGGCCUGGGACUCAGUCUGGCUCUGCCUCUUACAGCCCUGAAGUCUUGGGCUAGUUAAUUUCUACUGAAGAUCAGUUUCCAUGUCUAUAAAAUGGGCAUUACAAAACCUUCCUCCAAGGCUAAUAUUCUGCCCAUACCGCCAUAUCAGUUGUUUAAUGCCUGUGUCCACUCUGAUUGGUUGGUGCCCAUGCGCUGCUGGUUCUUAAAUAACUAUCACCCUGUGUUAGUUUUCUAUUGGCGCAUAACAAAUUACCACAAGCUCAGAGCCUUAGCACCUCUUUCUUAUUUCCCGGUUUCUGCA
Molecule: long non-coding RNA, 3417 nt
Filed under: Equus asinus (donkey)
Lineage: Eukaryota; Metazoa; Chordata; Mammalia; Perissodactyla; Equidae
Description: lncRNA (ENSEASG00005026818.1)
Source: RNAcentral